UUUGAUCGGAGGCAGGGGGUGGUCUCCAAUCAAACAGAGAAAAGGUCCUGGAGAAGUUUUCUUAUCUGGAGUCAAAGCUUCAUGACAAUUUCAAAGAAAGGAAAAUAAAGAACGAUCUUCUGGCAGAUAGUGGCAAUGCUCCUGUCAUGAUCCAUCUUAUGUCAGACUGCAACCCAAUAUUGAGUCCCGUACCACCUGUUGAAUAUUAUUGCUCUACACCAACUGGCAGCAUCUCUCUCCAACACGUGACUCCACCACUACAUUGCAGCAGUAAUAUGGUACAAACACAUUAAGGUACAAAGCCUGGAGUAACGGAAUGGGUUGUUUGGUGCCGAGGCUUGAGAUCACCCUCUUCCGUGCCUCUCCAGGAAUACUCACUAGUC
Molecule: long non-coding RNA, 383 nt
Organism: Podarcis raffonei (Aeolian wall lizard)
Lineage: Eukaryota; Metazoa; Chordata; Lepidosauria; Squamata; Lacertidae
Exons: 3
Source: RefSeq, a predicted model, not a curated record